AUUGAACGCUGGCGGCAGGCUUAACACAUGCAAGUCGAGCGGAGCGAGGGUGCUUGCACCUUAGCUUAGCGGCGGACGGGUGAGUAAUGCUUAGGAAUCUGCCUAUUAGUGGGGGACAACAUUCCGAAAGGAAUGCUAAUACCGCAUACGCCCUACGGGGGAAAGCAGGGGAUCUUCGGACCUUGCGCUAAUAGAUGAGCCUAAGUCGGAUUAGCUAGUUGGUGGGGUAAAGGCCUACCAAGGCGACGAUCUGUAGCGGGUCUGAGAGGAUGAUCCGCCACACUGGGACUGAGACGCGGCCCAGACUCCUACGGGAGGCAGCAGUGGGGAAUAUUGGACAAUGGGCGGAAGCCUGAUCCAGCCAUGCCGCGUGUGUGAAGAAGGCCUUUUGGUUGUAAAGCACUUUAAGCGAGGAGGAGGCUACUUAGAUUAAUACUCUGGGAUAGUGGACGUUACUCGCAGAAUAAGCACCGGCUAACUCUGUGCCAGCAGCCGCCGUAA
This 501-nucleotide ribosomal RNA is filed under the name uncultured bacterium. RNAcentral describes it as "partial 16S ribosomal RNA". It matches the Rfam family "Bacterial small subunit ribosomal RNA", at positions 30 to 523 of the family's 1533-position model. The record is from RNAcentral.